GGUAAUGAGUGUCAGCGUGCAGCCCUGGCUUGCUGGCCGGCAACCCUCCUUCGCGGCGGGGUGCUCCAGGUGACGACCUGGUGAUCGCCGAUCGGCGGUCGCAAGCGCGAGUC
This 113-nucleotide non-coding RNA is filed under the name Nakamurella panacisegetis. RNAcentral's name for it is "SAM-IV sequence". It matches the Rfam family "SAM (S-adenosyl methionine) riboswitch aptamer". Rfam says of the family: SAM-IV is a mRNA element that regulates gene expression via direct sensing of S-adenosylmethionine (SAM or AdoMet). SAM-IV riboswitches share conserved nucleotide positions with the previously described SAM-I riboswitches sequence analysis and molecular recognition experiments suggest that SAM-I and SAM-IV riboswitches share similar ligand binding sites, but have different scaffolds. The record is from Rfam by way of RNAcentral. Lineage: Bacteria; Bacillati; Actinomycetota; Actinomycetes; Nakamurellales; Nakamurellaceae.